ACUCCCUUAGUAUAACUAAUACAACUGACUUCCAAUCAGUAAAUUCUGGAAAAACCUCAGAAGAGAGUA
RNAcentral lists this transfer RNA (69 nucleotides) under Rattus baluensis (summit rat). Its description in RNAcentral is "tRNA-Gly". It matches the Rfam family "tRNA". From Rfam's summary of the family: Transfer RNA (tRNA) molecules are approximately 80 nucleotides in length. Their secondary structure includes four short double-helical elements and three loops (D, anti-codon, and T loops). The record is from RNAcentral. Lineage: Eukaryota; Metazoa; Chordata; Mammalia; Rodentia; Muridae.